ACUUUUUAUUUUAUUUUUA
RNAcentral lists this small RNA (19 nucleotides) under Arabidopsis thaliana (thale cress). RNAcentral describes it as "ATSL187420". Lineage: Eukaryota; Viridiplantae; Streptophyta; Magnoliopsida; Brassicales; Brassicaceae. The record is from RNAcentral.